Molecule: long non-coding RNA, 537 nt
Organism: Sardina pilchardus (European sardine)
Lineage: Eukaryota; Metazoa; Chordata; Actinopteri; Clupeiformes; Clupeidae
Exons: 3
Source: RefSeq, a predicted model, not a curated record
UAGAAUCUCACACGCCGCCAGUUCAUGAUACAGGGCAUUAAGUACCUCCAGGAUGUGAGCCUUCCCUGUGAACAGAAAGAAGCCACAGAUGUGAGUUCUCCAAAAACCCAGAGUCAGCUGUUCUCCAACAAACCUCAUCGGUGCUUCUAAAGCUUUAUGGCACUCGGUGUCUUUGUAGACAGCGGUAACAGUUUCACGAGAGCCGUGUUAAUUUAAGUGGGUGUGCGCUGGUGUCUACUGUUGUGGUCAUGUACCGUGUUGAGGGUCGCUGCAGGAUUCCAACGUGCUCAGAAGAAUCUUUCCCAGAGACCUCCUGGAGACAUUCUGAAACGGGAGAGAGAACGUCUCAGAUUGCAGGAAGGAUUAUCACCAAAUGGUGGAGUUGUAUGCAGGACAGCCGGAACUUAAUGCUUACCAUGAGCACCUACAGGCUCAGGGCUGCCCGUGUGUCAACAGACAGCCUUGCGGUGCAGGUUCGAGCUUAACGGCGGGUGACAUUCUGAGCACAGUGCAUGAAUCGGAGGAGUGGCGGCGUGC